This 29-nucleotide small RNA is filed under the name Bombyx mori (domestic silkworm). RNAcentral describes it as "ovarian small RNA-23598". The record is from RNAcentral. Lineage: Eukaryota; Metazoa; Arthropoda; Insecta; Lepidoptera; Bombycidae.
UAUCCGCCAUGAUGGCUACGGAGCAGCGC